Long non-coding RNA from Octopus sinensis (East Asian common octopus), 1807 nucleotides. RefSeq lists it as uncharacterized. Lineage: Eukaryota; Metazoa; Mollusca; Cephalopoda; Octopoda; Octopodidae. The transcript is spliced from 2 exons. The record is from RefSeq and is a predicted model, not a curated record.
GCCAUGAGAGCCACUGCCUGGUACUGCAUUAUCAUUAUCAUUAUUAUUAUUAUUGUUAUUUACUACUACUACUACUACUACUACUACUACUACUACUACUACUACUACUACUUCUACUACUACUGUUACAGUUACAGAGCUUUAAAUUUUGAGUUUUUCAAAUUCUACCAGAGUCCCAGAGCCUAUAGAAUAUAGAGUGAAUGGAGUUAAUUCAAUGAAGGAUACACUCCUUCACUUCCUAUUUGUGAAUUUCUAGCACAGUUUCAAUCGGAUAUCCAUAUCAACACAGUUGCAUUGAUAAAGAAAACACAUGUCACCCCUGUUUGUGUUGUAUUUACCUCAUACCCUCCACAUAUGAACAUAAUUAAAUAAAGUCUAACCAUAUGUAAUGUAAUGAACCAAAUAAAAUUUCUUAUCAAUUCAAGUUUACUCCCAUAAAAAAAAAAAAAGAAGACAAACAAAUUCCUGCUCCUGAUAAUUCUUGCCAAAAGCAAAAAACAAACAAAUCCAAAAUUCCAAUUGAUUACAAACUGAAUGUGAGUCAGGUGUGGGCGUUUUGGGGGAAGUAACAACUCUGGACAUGUUAUUAGACUUCUUCAGCAAAGUAUGGUCUUACAUGUACUUAUCAGACCUUGGAAUCACUAAGAUAAUAUAUAACUCUUGAGUGAGAUAAAUAUUCAUUGAUCAGGUCAUUUAAAAUGAUAUCAUUUGAAAAUUUCCCUUAAAAAGAAAAAGACAAAAAUGUUAUCAAAUGGUAGUUAACAUGUUUAAUUUUGUUAUAUUUCGGGAUGGUCGUUUUCAUUUUUUUCUCAUUUUUUUUUGUCAAAUAAACACACGCACUCUACAUUCAUUCUUCACUUGUUUAUUACUGUUCUUAUUUGAUCUUAAGUCCAUUGUCUGGAAAUCUUUCAGCACACAUUUGUGACCUCUUCAGCAACCCUUUCCAUCCAUGUGUAUCCUCCUGCUCCACUUAGUUCAUUCUCUCAAAAAUACAAAAAGAAAAAAACGACCGUCCUGAAACAUAACAAGUUCUGUUUCAACAGACAGUUUCACAUCGGGAAUCUUGCGACACAAAUUCAUAAAUGUAACAUAUUUAAUGUAAUCUACCAAAUAAAAGGUUGAUUAAGAAAGAAAUGUCUGUUGUAGCAUUAAUGUGUCAGAGUGUUUGGAGAUAACAAGUCUUCAUACAACAGAGAACAUUCGAUGUGAAUACCAUUAUUAACAUUGUUUCAAUGCCAAAUAUUUAUUUCAGCUUGUAUGAAAAUUAUUGUUAUGGAUAUGUUUUUACAAGAUUUCUUUAAAAGAUUAUUUGAUAAACAAUUUAUGUUUUAAUAUGGUCAAUCGUAUAUAAAUAGUAAUUGAUUUAAAAAAAACUUUGGCUGUUUUUAUCACUUGGUUGUAGACUUGAUCUAUCAGCUGGCUUAACACAACCAGAUCAUACUCAGAUGCCAUUUAUAGGGUCCAUUCUUUUGUGCUUGAAAGAUAAACUUAAUCUGUUGCCCCAUUUAACAUCACUUUAUUGAAGCAGCCCCACUCUGUUGCAAGCAGGACUCCAUUCUAAGAAUAAAUCAUGGUCCCAUCUUCUUGUUCUUCCUACCCACCAUUGAGACCCAACAAACGUCACAUGACUACUUCCCUUCCUCCUCCUCUGACAAACAUAUAAGGAAUAAGUGUCGAUAUUAUUUCAUUUUUUUAAAAAAUUCAUUGUAUUGUAUAUAUAUCAGAUCCUUCCAUGGUGACCUAUUAUAGAAUUUAUAGUAUUUUCUAUGCAACAAAAUUCCUUGAAAUAAAAAUGAUGCUGCUGUAA